Molecule: ribosomal RNA, 353 nt
Filed under: uncultured bacterium
Lineage: Bacteria
Description: bacterial SSU rRNA
Rfam family: Bacterial small subunit ribosomal RNA
Source: RNAcentral
AUGUAGGUAUCUGCCCUUUGGCCUGGAAUAACACGAGGAAACUUGUGCUAAUACCGGAUAAGUCUUCACGGAGAAAGCUUUAUGCACCAUUGGAUGAGCCUGCACUUGAUUAGUUUGUUGGUGGGGUAAUGGCCUACCAAGACUGUGAUCAAUAGCUGAUUUGAGAGGAUGAUCAGCCACAUUGGGACUGAGACACGGCCCAAACUCCUACGGGAGGCAGCAGUGGGGAAUCUUGCACAAUGGAGGAAACUCUGAUGCAGCGAUGCCGCGUGAGUGAAGAAGGCCCUUGGGUUGUAAAGCUCUUUCGUCGGGGAAGAAAAUGACUGUACCCGAAUAAGAAGGUCCGGCUAACU